Molecule: ribosomal RNA, 462 nt
Filed under: uncultured bacterium
Lineage: Bacteria
Description: bacterial SSU rRNA
Rfam family: Bacterial small subunit ribosomal RNA
Source: RNAcentral
CGGGCCUAACACAUGCAAGUCGAACGCACUAGCAAUAGUGAGUGGCGCACGGGUGCGUAACACGUGGGUAAUCAACCCUUCAGCCUGGGAUAACGACUCGAAAGGGUCGCUAAUACCGGAUACGGCGCGAGAGGCUUCGGCUUCUCACGAGAAAGCCACGCAAGGGGCACUGAAGGACGAGCCUGCGGCCCAUCAGCUAGUUGGUGAGGUAAGAGCUCACCAAGGCUAAGACGGGUAGCUGGUCUGAGAGGAUGAUCAGCCACACUGGAACUGAGACACGGUCCAGACUCCUACGGGAGGCAGCAGUGGGGAAUAUUGCGCAAUGGGCGAAAGCCUGACGCAGCCACGCCGCGUGAGCGAUGAAGGCCUUCGGGUCGUAAAGCUCUGUGGGGAGAGACGAAGAAAGCCUGUGAAGAGCAGGCCUUGACGGUAUCUCCUUAGCAAGCACCGGCUAACUCCGUG